ACGUUGAAACGCCGUUCCCGUACGAUCAACGAAGUUAGGCAUAUUCGAGCCAGAUCAGUACUUUGAUGGUUGACCUCUUGGGAAUACCAGAAAC
Acanthosepion pharaonis is the source of this 94-nucleotide non-coding RNA. Lineage: Eukaryota; Metazoa; Mollusca; Cephalopoda; Sepiida; Sepiidae. The record is from the annotation of a GenBank genome assembly.